UACAGAGGUGGCAAGCGUUGUUCGGAAUUACUGGGCGUAAAGGGCGCGUAGGCGGUCUUGUCAGUCCCUUGUGAAAUCCCCCGGCUCAACUGGGGAACUGCAAGGGAAACAGCAGGGCUUGAGUUCGGGAGAGGGAAGCGGAAUUCCGGGUGUAGCGGUGAAAUGCGUAGAUAUCCGGAGGAACACCGGUGGCGAAGGUGGCUUCCUGGACCGACACUGACGCUGAGGCGCGAAAGCUAGGGGAGCAAACGGG
RNAcentral lists this ribosomal RNA (253 nucleotides) under uncultured bacterium. RNAcentral describes it as "partial 16S ribosomal RNA". It matches the Rfam family "Bacterial small subunit ribosomal RNA", at positions 524 to 776 of the family's 1533-position model. The record is from RNAcentral.